Molecule: long non-coding RNA, 786 nt
Filed under: Brassica napus (rape)
Lineage: Eukaryota; Viridiplantae; Streptophyta; Magnoliopsida; Brassicales; Brassicaceae
Description: long non-coding RNA (BNAP_LNC026894)
Source: RNAcentral
UUAGGGUUCAUUUACUACAUCUAUUGAUUGAGUAAUUGUUUAAUUUUGAAAAGCCCAAAUUCCAGUCCAUAGCAAAGCACAGUGUUUGAUUGGCUCCACUGUCAAUUUUCUUUUUUACAUGAUGAAACUUUAAAUCUCAGUUUAUGGUUUAGGGGAAACCAUAAAGUAAAAUUGAUAGUUCUGUAACAAGAAUCUGCAAUUUUCAGACAUAAUUAGAAAAAUCCUAUGUUCUUUAUAUUUCUUGUUUCAGGUAUUUGAGAAUUAGUUUGUACUAGAUUGAGGACAGAGUUUGUAGAUGAUUUGUGAGUUCUUUGACCAUCAAUGGAGAGAAGGAGAUCACCAAGAAGCAACAAGAGUUCUGGAACUACAUUUUUCCCUAAAAGCCCGCUUGUCUACGAGAGUUAUAAGUCUGGUUGUAGUAAGAAACUGGCUUCACGAGAAAUGUCAGUGUAAUGAUGUAAGUGUAUUAUAAAUUGUUUUUGGAGAAACUGAAUCUCUUGAUCUCUUCAGCGGAUUGUAGAAGAAGAACAUUCAUGUAAGCAGCAUAAAUGAGAUGAUCUUUAAGCGAUGAAACAGAAGAUGAAUCAUGAGAGCUAGUUUAGUUAUUGUAAAUUAUGUUGACUUCACGAGAAAUGUCCGCAGAUGUUGUAUCAGAUGGCUAUUACGUAAGAAUUUACGGUUUAGUUAGUUGUAAAUUAUGAACUAUAUAGAUCCAAACAACAAGUUGUAUGUUCGAAUGUAAUUCCGACACAAAAUAAUUCCAAAAGCCAAAUAGAACCAAACAAG